This 1254-nucleotide ribosomal RNA is filed under the name Triticum aestivum (bread wheat). RNAcentral describes it as "partial small subunit ribosomal RNA". The record is from RNAcentral. Lineage: Eukaryota; Viridiplantae; Streptophyta; Magnoliopsida; Poales; Poaceae.
AUGGACAUCGCGCAGCCUGCAGGGGUGGAUGCGGUGAAGCUUGUGGUGAUGAUCGUCCAGGCAGCUCAGACAGUUCGCCACAACAAGAAGACCUACCAACAGCUCGUCAACCGCGCGCAGAUGAUCGGUGACCUGCUGGGGAAGCUGCAGGGCUCAGAGAAGCUGCAGCAGCCAGAGAUACGGAGCCCGCUGAAGGUGCUCGAGGGGAUCCUAGGCGAGGCAUACACACUCGUCAAAUCCUGCCAAAACAGCAGCUAUGUAUACCAGCUAUUGAUGGGCCGGAAGCAGGCUGAUCAGUUCCAUGUUGUGCAAAAUAAAAUAGACUCGUAUCUGCUGCUCUUCCCACUCAUCAGCCACAUCGAAACUGCAGCUCAACUGGACCAAAUUCUGAAUGCCGUACGGCCACAGGCCAGGUUUAGAUGCCGAAGUGGUGCCGGGUUACUUAGUGGCUGUUCAAACUACGGUGCUACUAGGUGCUCGUCUCGUGAUGCCAGGAUUGAAGUUUGUGGUAUAUCUGAAAGAGUUCACGCAGUAAAUGAGCCAUUUGCUGUAAAGGAAAGCCAUCAAGCAGGCUCUUCAAAUGUUGUCGAAUCAUUAUCAGCCAAACAAAGCAGAAUGAGGCGCCGUUGCUGUGGACAGCAUAAGGAGUCACCCACAAUUCAUAGGCUUACUGGUCACGAAGGGUCCUUCAAGUUCACUUUCUUCCAGUUGGUGGGUGCUACCAAAAAUUUCUGCCCUGCAAACCAGAUUGGAAAAGGUACCUUUGGCUGUGUUUACAAGGGUCGAUUACAUGAUGGACUUGAAGCUGCAAUCAAAAGACGUUCUGAAGUUCCUCGGUCACUUAGUCAACUGGAUUUCCAAAAUUUGGAGUUUAGCAAUGAGGUUUGCUUUCUUACAGAACUUCAGCAUACCAAUAUUGCCAAACUUCUAGGAUGCUGCAUCCAUGGAACAGAGAGACUUUUGGUCUAUGAAUAUAUGGCCAAUGGAAGCUUCGAUACCUUCAUCUUUGGUGCAAGGACAAAAAGGGCCUAUCUUGACUGGCCCACGCGCUCCAAAAUAAUGAAAGGGGUGGCAGAAGGACUUUUGUAUCUUCAUAAGCAGUGUGGGCUAUACAUUAUACAUGGAGAUCUAAAGCCAAGUAACAUUCUCUUGGACUCUGACAUGAAUCCCAAGAUCUCUGAUUUUGGCAUGGCUAGAAUGUAUAGGCCCGUUGUGGAUGAAGAGUUUACUGACCAUAUUGUGGGCUCAACGUAA